UCCCAGAUGGCUCAGUGGUAAAGAACCUGUCUGCCAUGCAGGAGAUGUGGGUUCAAUCCCUGAAUUGGGAA
Transfer RNA from Ovis aries (sheep), 71 nucleotides. It matches the Rfam family "tRNA". From Rfam's summary of the family: Transfer RNA (tRNA) molecules are approximately 80 nucleotides in length. Their secondary structure includes four short double-helical elements and three loops (D, anti-codon, and T loops). The record is from Rfam. Lineage: Eukaryota; Metazoa; Chordata; Mammalia; Artiodactyla; Bovidae.